UAAAUUAUGAGUUUGAUCCUGGCUCAGGAUGAACGCUAACAGUAUGCUUUACACAUGCGAGUCAAACAAAAAUAACAAUGUGGCGGACGGGUGAGUAGUAGUAGAAUUUUACCUUUUAGUUUAAUAUAAGUAUAUCUAAAAAUAGAGAAAAACUUUUAAGUUUGUAUGAAUAUUAAAUAUAUUAAUAAAAGAACGUAAUAUUUCGCUAAAAGAUAAAUCUGCGUAAGAUUAGGUUGUUGGUAAAGAGACAGCUUACCAAGCCUUUGAUCUUUAGUUGGUCUUAGAGGAUGAUCAACCACACUGGAACUGAAACAAGGUCCAGACCAUUUAUGGUCAGCAGUGAGGAAUAUUGGACAAUGAACGAAAGUUUGAUCCAGCAAUACUGUAUGAAUGAUGACAGCUAAUUUGGUUGUAAAAUUCUUUCAUUAAUUAUGAUAAUGACAUUAUUUGAAGAAGAAGUCCCGGCUAAUCUCGUGCCAGCAGCCGCGGUAAUACGGGAGGGGCUAGCGUUAUCCGAAAUAACUGGGCGUAAAGGGUUCGUAGACUGUAUUGUAAAUUAUUUGAUAAAUAUUAAAGCUUAACUUUAAUAAAAACAUUUAAUAUUGCUUUACUUUUGAGUUUUAAACGGAAGAGUAGAAUUCUAUAAGAAGAAAUAAAAUCCGUAGAUAUGUAGAGGAAUAUCAAUAGCGAAAGCGACUCUUUAGUAAAAACUGACGUUGAGGGACAAAAGUGUAGGGAGCAAACAGGAUUAGAUACCCUGGUAGUCUACACUGUAAACUAUGAAUGCUAAAAUUUAAUUACAAUUAAAUUAGAUUUUAUACGCUAACGCAAUAAGCAUUCCGCCUGAGGAGUACGAUCGCAAGAUUGGAACUCAAAGGAAUUGACGGGGGCCUACUACAAGUGGUGGAGCAUGUGGUUUAAUGCGAUAAUACGCGCGGAACCUUACCAGCCCUUGACAUAUUAUUUUAUAAAUAACAUUUUAGUAUUGUUUUUAUUAAAUUUUACAGGUGUUGCACGACUGUCGUCAGCUCGUGUCGUGAGAUUUUUGGUUAAUUCCUUUAACGAGCGUAACUCUUGUCUUUAAUUUCAAUUUAUAUAAUUAAAAAUUAAAAUCAUUGUGUUAGUUUUUAAUGUUUGUUUUAAAGAUACCGCUAACUAUAAGUUAGAGAAAGGUAAGAAUCAUGUCAAGUCAUUGUGGCCCUUAUGGGCUGGGCUACACAUGUGCUACAAUGGAAAUUACAAAAAGUAAUUGUAAUAUUAAUCUCUAAAAAUUUUCGUAGUUCGGAUUGUAAACUGCAACUCGUUUACAUGAAGUUGGAAUCACUAGUAAUCGCAAAUCAGAACGUUGCGGUGAAUGGUAAAUUGGCCUUGUACACACCGCCCGUCACAUGCGGGGAAUUAAUUUUAUUUGAAGAAUUAUAUAAAUAAUUUUAUUUAUAUUAUAUUAUUAGUUAUAGAAUCAAUUAAAAAAUUAAUAACUUGGAUGAAGUCGUAACAAGGUAGCUGUACGGGAACGUGUAGCUGGAAAUUGUAAAAU
Molecule: ribosomal RNA, 1537 nt
Filed under: Paralia sulcata
Lineage: Eukaryota; Bacillariophyta; Melosirophyceae; Paraliales; Paraliaceae
Description: SSU rRNA
Rfam family: Bacterial small subunit ribosomal RNA
Source: RNAcentral